This 1297-nucleotide long non-coding RNA is filed under the name Homo sapiens (human). Its description in RNAcentral is "HSALNT0096291". The record is from RNAcentral. Lineage: Eukaryota; Metazoa; Chordata; Mammalia; Primates; Hominidae.
AAUCGGUCCAAUUCUCGGCCGGGAAGUCUCUGGCCGGGACGGGGCAGGGCGAACCUGCCAGUGACUGGACUCAGCUUCUUUGCGUAACCAAUACUGGAAGGCAUUUAAAGGCACCUCUGCCGCCACAGACCUUGCAGUUAACUCCGCCCUGACCCACCCUUCCCGAUGCAGUCCCUGAUGCAGGCUCCCCUCCUGAUCGCCCUGGGCUUGCUUCUCGCGGCCCCUGCGCAAGCCCACCUGAAAAAGGUCCCUUUUCCUCUGUUUUGUGUUUGCCAAGGCCAAACUCCCACUCUCUGCCCCCCUUUAAUCCCCUUUCUACAGUGAGUCCACUACCCUCACUGAAAAUCAUUUUGUACCACUUACAUUUUAGGCUGGGGCAAGCAGCCCUGACCUAAGGGAGAAUGAGUUGGACAGUUCUUGAUAGCCCAGGGCAUCUGCUGGGCUGACCACGUUACUCAUCCCCGUUAACAUUCUCUCUAAAGAGCCUCGUUCAUUUCCAAAGCAGUUAAGGAAUGGGAACCAGAGUGUUUUAGGACCUGAAGAAUCUUUAUGACUCUCUCUCUUUCACUCUUUUUUUUUUUUGUCACUAAGUUAAAAGCGAAGUGAGAGUAUUAACGUUUUUGUUCUCCUCCGGCCCCCUGUUACAAUGAAGGGGCAAAAGUAUUUGCUCUUAGUCUAUUCCUCCCUUAACUUCUGUGACUAAUUUUUAUUUCCUUUCUAGAUUUGCCCAAUUAAUACUAGGGUGCAGUGUAUCCUGGAGAGGUAGGGUGUGUGGGGGAGGAAUCCCUUGGGGGAGAUAUUAGGAGUGCUCUGUUGUUUACAAACUCAGGUACCCGCAGGGCCUAGCAAGAGACUUAAAUGACUGAUAAGAACCGUGAGAAACAUGUUGCUUCCAGGCUUGAUUUCGAUUUUUCGCUUUUUUUUUUUUUGAGACAGAAUCUCACUUUGUCACCAGGCUGGAGUGCAGUGGUGCAAUCUCACCUCACUGCAACCUCCGCCUCCUGGGUUCAAGCAAUUCUCCUGCCUCAGCCUCCCAAGUAGCUUGGACUACAGGCCCUGCCACCACGCCCGGCUAAUUUGUGUAUUUUUAGGAGCUGGAGAAGCUCGACAUCCUGCAGUGGGUGAGACAGUUGUGCACAGUGAAGAAUUGUCUCACCUCCUGCAUGGCUUUCCAAUAAACAGAUGAUCUGAGCUUGGAACGAACUCCCCUUUACAAACAUCAACAAAGUGGUUUGGAGGUUGCAGUGAGCCAAGAUCGCGCCAUUGCACUCCAGCCUGGGCAACAAGAGUGAAACUC